Molecule: small nuclear RNA, 102 nt
Organism: Cebus imitator (Panamanian white-faced capuchin)
Lineage: Eukaryota; Metazoa; Chordata; Mammalia; Primates; Cebidae
Source: RefSeq, a predicted model, not a curated record
GCUUGCUUCAGCAGUGCAUAUACUAAAAUUAGAAUGACACAGAGAUUAGCAUGGCCCCUGCACAAGGAUGACAUGCAAAUUCAUGGAGCACUCUAUAUUUUC